GCUUCCUGGCCCAAAGUAAACACGUUGUAAAUUCUUGUUGAAUGAAUAUUAUGUAUACACAUACGCUAUUAGCCACUUAGUGAUUCAGACACAAAUGUACAAAUAUGAAGAGCCCAGGCGCUGCUCCCUGAGCAAUUUACGAGAAGGGAUACUGAAGCCCUUCCAGAAGUCUGGAGUUUUUCACUGAUGCAAUUACACUAUGACCAGAAUUUCUGAAGUUUUUGGUCUUUCUGUAAUAGAUAUGAAAUAGCUGCUAAAACAGUGAGUAUCGUUUGUAUUUAAAGGAAGAAGGAGAAAAAAAGGACAAAAAGUCAGUAAUU
This 320-nucleotide long non-coding RNA is filed under the name Chinchilla lanigera (long-tailed chinchilla). RNAcentral describes it as "lncRNA (ENSCLAG00000024778.1)". Lineage: Eukaryota; Metazoa; Chordata; Mammalia; Rodentia; Chinchillidae. The record is from RNAcentral.